GACGAACGCUGGCGGCGUGCCUAAUACAUGCAAGUCGAACGCUUCUUUCCUCCCGAGUGCUUGCACUCAAUUGGAAAGAGGAGUGGCGGACGGGUGAGUAACACGUGGGUAACCUACCCAUCAGAGGGGGAUAACACUUGGAAACAGGUGCUAAUACCGCAUAACAGUUUAUGCCGCAUGGCAUAAGAGUGAAAGGCGCUUUCGGGUGUCGCUGAUGGAUGGACCCGCGGUGCAUUAGCUAGUUGGUGAGGUAACGGCCCACCAAGGCCACGAUGCAUAGCCGACCUGAGAGGGUGAUCGGCCACACUGGGACUGAGACACGGCCCAGACUCCUACGGGAGGCAGCAGUAGGGAAUCUUCGGCAAUGGACGAAAGUCUGACCGAGCAACGCCACGUGAGUGAAGAAGGUUUUCGGAUCGUAAAACUCUGUUGUUAGAGAAGAACAAGGACGUUAGUAACUGAACGUCCCCUGACGGUAUCUAACCAGAAAGACACGGCUAACUACGUG
RNAcentral lists this ribosomal RNA (508 nucleotides) under uncultured bacterium. RNAcentral describes it as "partial 16S ribosomal RNA". It matches the Rfam family "Bacterial small subunit ribosomal RNA", at positions 28 to 507 of the family's 1533-position model. The record is from RNAcentral.